RNAcentral lists this long non-coding RNA (1965 nucleotides) under Equus caballus (horse). Its description in RNAcentral is "lncRNA (ENSECAG00000054122.1)". Lineage: Eukaryota; Metazoa; Chordata; Mammalia; Perissodactyla; Equidae. The record is from RNAcentral.
UUAGACAAUGCAAAUUUUGGAAUUUGCAUUGAUGCUGCAAUGUGUUAAUAUUUGGGGAGAUGUUGGGAUAAGGCAAAUGUGUUUUGCAUGUUGGACAGAUGUGAAUCUUUGAGGCCCAGAGGACAGGCUGUGGUAAGCAGAAUAAUGGGCUCCCAAAGAUGCCUACAUCCUAAUUGCCAGAACCUGUUAUAUUACAUGGCAAAGAAGAAUUAAAUUUGCGGGUGGAAUUUGGGUUGCUAAUCAGCUGAUAUCCUGCAUUAUCUCCAUGGGCCCAAUGUAAUUACAGAGUCUUUAUAUGUGGAGGAAGAAGGCAGAAAAGCCUGUGUCAGACUUAUGUGAUGUGAGAAACCCUUGACUGGCCAUUUCUGGCUUUGAAAAUGGAGGAAGGCAUGAGCCAAGGAAUGACAGGAAACUCUAGAAUCUGGAAAAGGAAAGAAAAUUGAUUUUCCCCUGGAGUUUCCUGAAAGGAAUGCAGCUCUGCCCCAUCUUGAUUUAGGCCCAGUGAGAACCAUUUAAAACGUCUGACCUCCAGAACUGUAAGAUGACCAGGGAUGGUAAGAACAAUGUAAUUUGGAGGACAAAGGAAGAACUCAGAUUUCUUGGAUGACUUUACCAGUGAAAUGAGUUCCUGAUUCAUCUGAAAGGGCAAGUGGAAUACCCUAGUAUCUACAGGUGUUCUGAUCUACAGGAGAUUGAAAGGAAGCUGAGGAUGGCUUGAAGUCCAUAUGAUUACCUUCAAGUGGUUUCAGUUGAAAAGCCAUGAGUAAAUGUUGAAAGAAUCAAAGUAACUCCUUACAACAGUCAAUAUUUCUGGAAACUUCCAAGUUGUCCCUGUCUAAGAAAAUCCUUUUGGAAGAUCAAUAUACAUUGACAAAACAGGGUUAGCUGGAACUUUUGUGAAAAGUGAUAGUCUGUAUUCUGCAUCUGUAUUCAGGCCUGAAUUGUCCAUGCUGAUUAUCUGCUUUGAUCUACAUUACUAGGUCUAGUGGGGAACAUUAGUGCAGCUCAGCAAUAUUUCCAGUUAUUCUCUGUCUGGGCAUACUGAAGGAUUGCAUGGUGCUACUCCUCUUUGAAGAUGACAGAGGCCACAUGAUUUGCUUUGGCUGAUAAAUAGUGAGUGGAAGAAAUAUGCACCACUUUCAGAUGAAAAUAAUCAAUAACUGUAACUUGGCUUGUCAAACUGCUUUUUAUAUUCUUUCAUGUCAUUCAUGGAGGUGUCAUAAAAUUCACGCAUCCUGGAAAGCUGAGCCAACACAGAAGACAACUGACCUGGAAUGUCAGCCAGGCGUGUGAUGUAUUUUGCACAAGAUAUUUUUAUUGGAUUAAGCCACUGAGAUUUAGGGGCUGCCCGUUAACACAGCAAAGCUCAUCUUAUGCUACCUAUGUCUUCUACACCUGUGAAAUGUCUAUGGUGACUAUUAGAAUGUGUUUGAAUACAGCUGAACUUACUCUACCAAAUAUUAAAUAUUUAAGUGUUCUAAUUAGGUAAAAUUUGGAAAUCUUUGCAUAUCAUGGAUUUUUAUAUCAGCCCAAGUAUUUGAAAUACGUAGAAUAGUAUAUGAACAUGGCAGUAACAUGACAAAUAAGCAUCCCUUAGUAUUUAAAGGGCACUUAUAAAGUCUUUAUUAUCCUGGAAUAUUUAGUUCAAUGAAUACAAUAACAUCACAAGAAAGAAAACAUCAUGAAUAGAUAAAAUGUAGUUAUCCAUUUAUUUCUUAUUUCUGUAUUCACCAGGAAAGUUUUUUCUGUGUGUUCUUUUAUUUGUAAACAGCUACUUGGUAACUAAGAGGCAUUAAAUUAAAGACUAACUUGACUUUGCCAGGUCAUCAAAUUCUGAUCCAUAAUGAACUCUGUGUAUAAAUAAAAAGCAGAUCAUUUUUUUCCAUCAAAGAGGUAGUUCUUUACAUUUCUAAAUCCAAGUCUCUCAAUAUUCACUCUUUGUAGAAUUUUUAUAAGUGUGUAAGG